This 427-nucleotide ribosomal RNA is filed under the name uncultured bacterium. RNAcentral's name for it is "bacterial SSU rRNA". It matches the Rfam family "Bacterial small subunit ribosomal RNA", at positions 355 to 774 of the family's 1533-position model. The record is from RNAcentral.
UGGGGAAUUUUGGACAAUGGGCGAAAGCCUGAUCCAGCAAUGCCGCGUGUGGGAAGAAGGCCUUCGGGUUGUAAACCACUUUUGUACGGAACGAAACGGCUCGCCUUAAUACGGCGGGCUAAUGACGGUACCGUAAGAAUAAGCACCGGCUAACUACGUGCCAGCAGCCGCGGUAAUACGUAGGGUGCGAGCGUUAAUCGGAAUUACUGGGCGUAAAGCGUGCGCAGGCGGUUAUAUAAGACAGUUGUGAAAUCCCCGGGCUCAACCUGGGAAUUGCAUCUGUGACUGUAUAGCUAGAGUACGGUAGAGGGGGAUGGAAUUCCGCGUGUAGCAGUGAAAUGCGUAGAUAUGCGGAGGAACACCGAUGGCGAAGGCAAUUCCCUGGACCUGUACUGACGCUCAUGCACGAAAGCGUGGGGAGCAAACA